RNAcentral lists this ribosomal RNA (751 nucleotides) under Talanema sp. NV-2022. RNAcentral's name for it is "partial large subunit ribosomal RNA". It matches the Rfam family "Eukaryotic large subunit ribosomal RNA", at positions 346 to 892 of the family's 3401-position model. The record is from RNAcentral. Lineage: Eukaryota; Metazoa; Nematoda; Enoplea; Dorylaimida; Qudsianematidae.
AAGUACCCGUGAGGGAAAGUUGAAAAGAACUUUGAAGAGAGAGUUCAAAAGGGCGUGAAACCGCUUAGAAGAAAACGGACGGAGCCGUCAGGGGCCUUCGGGAAUCAGUCGGACAAUAUGCUAGUCUGUCGCAGCUCAGAACGCAAGUCUGACUGUGAUAGUAAGUAGUGUUUGUUUGGCGCAUUUCUCGAAGGUAAGCACUGCGACCGAUACGAAAGGCCAUCGAAGCGGGCGGAUUGAGGUCGAGAUCUCUCACGGGAUCUUGUAACCAGUCCGUUCGUGUUUAGUCGUUGGACCGCAGUAUGUAUCGAGCGCCUAAGAAACAUAUAUGUCGGCCGUAAAGCUCGUUCGAAUAAUGGAUAGUCGGUCAAUAGUGUUGGUACCUGCUUGCAGGUGCUGAUCUAUUCGAUUCGGCUAAGAAGUUAUCGGCGACAUUUCGACAUAUAGGCGUCCGCAGUGUCAGUGUCGGUCACCCGUCCGACCCGUCUUGAAACACGGACCAAGGAGUCUAACAUAUGCGCGAGCUAAUGGGUGGAAAACCCAAAAGCGAAAUAAAAGUAAACGCUGUUUCGGACAGCCGAGGUACGAUCCUUGAAUCUGAGCGAUUCUAGGCGCAGUACCGUCCCGUCCCGACCGCAUAUCGGUAGGGCGGAGAUAGAGGGCAUACGUUGGGACCCGAAAGAUCGUUAAGUUACAAGAGCAGAGCGAAGCCAGAGGAAAGUCGGGUCGAUCCGAUACAAGUUCCGGAGGC